Molecule: non-coding RNA, 73 nt
Organism: Trichonephila clavipes
Lineage: Eukaryota; Metazoa; Arthropoda; Arachnida; Araneae; Nephilidae
Source: the annotation of a GenBank genome assembly
GUCCCAGUAGCGCAAUGGGUAACGCGUUGCACUUCUAAUCUAAUGGUCGUGGAUUCGAAUACCACCUGGGAUG